CCCAGCCCCCUGCUCUCCCUGCUCUACGCCGACCUCACGGCCGACGGGCUGCGCGAGUUGGCCGGCGUCUGCCUCAAGGGCCUCCACGUCCUGCAGCACAGCCUGGAACCCACGGCCCGGCGGGUCCUGGAGCGGCUGCGGAGACGCGCGGAACGACGGGCCUUGGAAGGGUGAAGACCUUCGUCUUCCAUCAUCAGCGACGGACCCAAACUCGGCCCUUUUCACCCCAAAAAUGAAUAAAAUAACGCAAAACCCC
This is a long non-coding RNA of Calidris pugnax (ruff), 256 nucleotides long. RefSeq lists it as uncharacterized. The record is from RefSeq and is a predicted model, not a curated record. The transcript has 2 exons. Lineage: Eukaryota; Metazoa; Chordata; Aves; Charadriiformes; Scolopacidae.